Aotus nancymaae (Ma's night monkey) is the source of this 106-nucleotide small nuclear RNA. Lineage: Eukaryota; Metazoa; Chordata; Mammalia; Primates; Aotidae. The record is from Ensembl.
UUGCUUGCUUUGGCAGCACAUAUAUUAAAAUUGGAAUGACAAAGAGAACAUUAGCAUGGCCCCGUGCAAGGAUGACACACAAAUUUAUGAAGCUUUCCACUUAAAA